Molecule: long non-coding RNA, 1700 nt
Organism: Heterocephalus glaber (naked mole-rat)
Lineage: Eukaryota; Metazoa; Chordata; Mammalia; Rodentia; Bathyergidae
Source: Ensembl
GCCUCGGCCGCGCCCCCGGCCACCCACGCCGUCCGGGCGCGGGUGCCAGUGCGGGACCCGGGAGGGGCGCGGGUUACGUAAGUCCGGCUGCCCCGCGUCACCGGGCAGCCACGGCCGCGGGGAGGGGCCGCGCCAGUGCCCAGGCGGCGGGGCCCGGGCUGCACCUGAGGGCCGGGCGCAGGCUGGGAGACUCACCGCGGGGCCGACCGGGCUGCGGGCCGGCGUCCCUGUCCUCCGCGGGCGAGCAGCCACCAACAGUAGGGGUAGUUUCGGCCCCCCACGCCCUUGCCUGCUGGGAGAUCCUGGCUCAGGGUGGCACAGAGCCCCACCGUGCUCCGCGGGGACCAGAGACCCAAGGGACAGAGGACAGCUACUCAUUAAAACAUGUUCUGCUGUCACAGACACAAGGACCUCACCCGCUGGUGGGCACAGUGGCAUUCACCAAACGAGGGCCCGGGUUCUGACGCCGGCGGUCGGUCCAGCCCCUCAGCUACUGGCCAGCAGUGGGCCGUGGGCAGUGUGAUUGCCUGCUGAGUACCAGCCGCUCCCUGCAAGCUGAACCAGGUGGGCUCCGGAAGUCAGAAGUGACCUGCAGGCCAGAGCAGGAAGUGGUCAGGGGCCAAGAGAGGCUGUGCUGUCCCAUGGCCCUGCCCUUCUGCCACCUGGCUGCACAAGGCCAAGCUAACCUGGCCAGGCACUGCAGAGCCUGUCCCCCCCUGCAUGCAGUGCCCCCUUGCCCACCCUCGUCCCCACCCUACCCCACUGGUCUCUCUGGCCUGGUGGAGUUGCCACUGAGGCAAAAGACAGAACAAAACUAGGUGAAGGCUGAAUGUGUAGUGGCGCAAGCCUGUAAUCCCAACACUCUGGAGGCUGAGGCAGGAAGAUUGCAAGUUCAAGCCCAGCCUGGGCAACUUAAUGCCUUGGCGAGACCCUGCCUCAAAAUAAAAAAUUUAAAAAGGGCCAAGGAUGUAGCUCAGUUUGGAGGCCCUGGGUUCAGUGCCCAGUACCACAAAAAUAGUGCCAAACCUAUGAUUUUUACAAAUCCUAGAAGCCACACACAGACUACGCCGAAGACGGCGCCCUGGCGCAGAGUCUGUACAGAGGCUGCGGCCUGGUGGUUUUCACACCGGACACUUGGUGUCUCAUCUUUCCAACCCGCAGACUCAGAGCUGCCAAGCACAGCGUCUGGGGCCGACCAUGCCCCACACACGCAUCUCCCCUGCCCGGGGAGCAAGAUCACGACGCCACGGCUCCGGAGGGGACACAGCUGGAGCAGGGACAGCACCCCCGCCUGGGAGGGAGGCUCCGCUCCUGUGUUCAUCCCCGAGACGGCAGCAGGCACUGGAGGGGCAGGGUCUGUCCCAGACCUGAGUCGGUGCCCACCCGGCUCUGAGCACCUGGGGGGGGGGGGCUUCCUGGAGGAGGGGCCCCGUCCCCCAUCACUGGUCAGAGCCCUGGGACCUGAGCCAAAGGCCCAACCCGGGGCUGCACCGCCCAGGGCCUGAGCACGCUGACUUCUCUGCACCCUGCCUGACCCCACACGAAGGCCCUUUUGGCCCCAGAACCUCAGCCUGCAGCCUGGGUCCCUGUGGGUGCCGCCUCUUUGGCAUGGCACGGCUCCCCGGAAAAGGCACGGCCCGUCCCGGGGUGGGGGUGCAGGUGGAGUCACCCCGUAACUGUAGUGACUAAGCUAGGCGGAG